Oreochromis aureus is the source of this 1063-nucleotide long non-coding RNA. Lineage: Eukaryota; Metazoa; Chordata; Actinopteri; Cichliformes; Cichlidae. The record is from Ensembl.
CAAUGACAAACUUAUUCAAAAUGAUACCCGAGGGGAGCUGAAGAUCUCUGCAGUGUCAAAGUCUGAUGAAGGUUUCUACAAGUGUCAGUACUCAGGAAGAGAGUCAGCACAGAGCUGGAUGUCAGUUAAAGUAACUGUGUCAGGAGCUGACGGCUCUUCAUCUCCUGUGUGGUUGAUUGUUGGACUGGUUUGUGGAGUCUCUCUCAUUAUUAUUCUCCUGCUCUUGUUGUAUCGCUGCAGACAGUCCAAGUUUGCAGAUGAAACCCAAGAUGUCACAUAUUCUCUCAUUAAGCUUAAAGAUUUUGAAAAGAGGAGGAAGCAUCACAAACCAGAGGAGUGUGUUAUUUACUCUGAGGUAAAGACAAGAGCUGCAGAGGACAGUCUGAUGUAUGCUGAGGUCAAACAGCCCAAAAAAGAAAAAGCCAAGAAAAACAAAGGAAAAUCAAGUCCUGCAGCUGAUGCAGCAGUUUAUUCUGAAGUCACAUCAGGAAGCUCUUUCAGUAAUUCUGCUGCCAUGCAGGCUGAUUUAUUCUUCACAUUAUUAAAUGUCUUCAGCUCAUAAUAUCUUUACAUGUUGGAAAUCACUUUGUCUUUUUGUGCUUGUCUUACAGGUCAGUGAGGAGAGCUGUAGCAGCAAAGCCAAGAAGAAGCUUUUUAUGAAGCCACUCUUGCUCCUCUGAUAUCUAUGCUCUCAUUUUUAUGAAGAUUAUAUAUUUUUAAAAUACACUUUUUAAAAAGAAAUAUUCAUUGUUAAAGGUUUUGUAUAAAACUUUGAAUGUAUCCUGUUCCAACAGCUGCAAAAAAAAAAAUAGUUUGAAAUAUGUGAUCAUAUAUUUAUUUUUUUAAUAUAGCGCAACUUAAAGUCAGAGUUGUUUGCCAUGACUUUUGUUGCCAUGAAAACUGGAUACUGCUGGACUUCAGGUUUGCUCUGGCCAUUUUACUUUAGUUAUUUUGUUUGUCCUUUCUUAGUUUUAUCGUCUUUUGUUAUUCUAUUUGAGAAGGAUUUAUCUUUUAGCUCUUUUUAGAGUCAUUUUAUAUAUUGUGAAUAAAAUAAAUGUUCUUA